GAGGGGCAUUAUGUUUUCUGGUCUGUGCGUCCGUUCGUCCGUCCGUCCGUCCGUCUGUCCGUUCGUCCGUCUGUCCCGCUCCAGGUUAAAGUUUUUGGUCAAGGUAGUUUUUGAUGAAGUUGAGGUCCAAUCGACUUCAAACUUAGUACACAUUAUCCCUAUGAUAUGAUCUUUCUAAUUUUAAUGCCAAAUUAGAGUUUUUACCCCAAUUUCACGGUCCAUUGAACAUGGAAAAUGAUAGUGCGA
RNAcentral lists this long non-coding RNA (246 nucleotides) under Mytilus galloprovincialis (Mediterranean mussel). The record is from RNAcentral. Lineage: Eukaryota; Metazoa; Mollusca; Bivalvia; Mytilida; Mytilidae.